Long non-coding RNA from Pantherophis guttatus, 208 nucleotides. RefSeq lists it as uncharacterized. Lineage: Eukaryota; Metazoa; Chordata; Lepidosauria; Squamata; Colubridae. The record is from RefSeq and is a predicted model, not a curated record.
AAGAUCAGAACAGUUUGGCUGAAGACACAUCGUGAGUUCCAUGCUGGUAAAUACGCACACCCCACUAGAUUGAAGGGUUUGAGAUCAGCAGGUUCUGUCAUUCUUCCUCCUAUAUAUAAUAGUGUUCUAUUAGAAGUGUAUUUCAGAAGUAGAACAUGACUGAAGUUGCUUUGAAGGUGAGCAGAGAAUUAAAAAAGAGCAGUCUCCA